Molecule: ribosomal RNA, 333 nt
Filed under: uncultured Pseudomonadales bacterium
Lineage: Bacteria; Pseudomonadati; Pseudomonadota; Gammaproteobacteria; Pseudomonadales
Description: bacterial SSU rRNA
Rfam family: Bacterial small subunit ribosomal RNA
Source: RNAcentral
UGUUGUGAAAUGUUGGGUUAAGUCCCGCAACGAGCGCUACCCCUAUCCUUAUUUGCCAGCGCGUUAUGGCGGGAACUCUAAGGGGACUGCCGGUGAUAAACCGGAGGAAGGUGGGGACGACGUCAAGUCAUCAUGGCCCUUACGGGAUGGGCUACACACGUGCUACAAUGGCGUAUACAGAGUGCUGCAAUACCGCGAGGUGGAGCGAAUCACAUAAAGUACGUCGUAGUCCGGAUUGGAGUCUGCAACUCGACUCCAUGAAGUCGGAAUCGCUAGUAAUCGUAGAUCAGAAUGCUACGGUGAAUACGUUCCCGGGCCUUGUACACACCGCCC